GGAGGGAUAGCGAAGUGGCUAAACGCGGCUGGCUGUAACCCAGUUCCGAAAGGUUCGGCGGUUCGAAUCCGCCUCCCUCCA
RNAcentral lists this transfer RNA (81 nucleotides) under Spiroplasma sabaudiense Ar-1343. It matches the Rfam family "tRNA". From Rfam's summary of the family: Transfer RNA (tRNA) molecules are approximately 80 nucleotides in length. Their secondary structure includes four short double-helical elements and three loops (D, anti-codon, and T loops). Lineage: Bacteria; Bacillati; Mycoplasmatota; Mollicutes; Entomoplasmatales; Spiroplasmataceae. The record is from Rfam by way of RNAcentral.